Molecule: long non-coding RNA, 444 nt
Organism: Setaria italica (foxtail millet)
Lineage: Eukaryota; Viridiplantae; Streptophyta; Magnoliopsida; Poales; Poaceae
Exons: 2
Source: RefSeq, a predicted model, not a curated record
AGCCGGAGCCCGGAGGUCGCAGAACAGCGGCGGCGAUGGCCCUCCCCCGGAUCGAGAUAGACUGGGACCGCGUGUUCCGCAGCUCCUCCCCCGAAUCGCAUACCUUCUUCUACUCCAGGUCGGCGGCCGCGGAGGGGGGCGACGAGCCGCCGCCACCGUCCCCGGGUCCAAGUCGAAGAACCUCCGUGCCGCAUCGAGCGCGGCGCGGGCGUGCGCCGCCGCCAUCCCGCAGUGCCGGAGGCCGCCAAGGAAGAUGAGCGCGAUGGGGAAAGUAGCCCUGCAUCCGCUGCGAAGAAAUCACGCAAGCUUGGUUUGAUUCACACUCAGGGCGUGUUUGGAUGAUUAGAUUCCGAGCCGAAUCAAAUUCACUGAUCAGCAGACAACCCCUUCCUGUGAUUUUAUCUAUCUAACCCCAUUUUGGCAAUUCGAUUAGUCCUGGAUCUA